Molecule: transfer RNA, 75 nt
Filed under: Hyphomicrobium sp. GJ21
Lineage: Bacteria; Pseudomonadati; Pseudomonadota; Alphaproteobacteria; Hyphomicrobiales; Hyphomicrobiaceae
Description: tRNA-Lys
Source: RNAcentral
UGGCAACGGAAUGUCGGCGGAACCACCUGACUCUUAAUCAGCGGGUCCACGGUUCGAGUCCGUGAUCACCCACCA